This 482-nucleotide ribosomal RNA is filed under the name uncultured bacterium. RNAcentral describes it as "partial 16S ribosomal RNA". It matches the Rfam family "Bacterial small subunit ribosomal RNA", at positions 30 to 507 of the family's 1533-position model. The record is from RNAcentral.
AUUGAACGCUGGCGGCAUGCCUUACACAUGCCAGUCGAACGGUAACGGGCCUUCGGGUGCCGACGAGUGGCGAACGGGUGAGUAAUACAUCGGAACGUGCCCGAUCGUGGGGGAUAACGAGGCGAAAGCUUUGCUAAUACCGCAUACGAUCUACGGAUGAAAGCAGGGGACCGCAAGGCCUUGCGCGGACGGAGCGGCCGAUGGCAGAUUAGGUAGUUGGUGGGAUAAAAGCUUACCAAGCCGACGAUCUGUAGCUGGUCUGAGAGGAUGAUCAGCCACACUGGGACUGAGACACGGCCCAGACUCCUACGGGAGGCAGCAGUGGGGAAUAUUGGACAAUGGGCGCAAGCCUGAUCCAGCCAUGCCGCGUGCAGGAUGAAGGCCUUCGGGUUGUAAACUGCUUUUGUACGGAACGAAAAGCCUUCUUUUAAUACAGGAGGGUCAUGACGGUACCGUAAGAAUAAGCACCGGCUAACUACGUG